This is a long non-coding RNA of Gallus gallus (chicken), 1234 nucleotides long. The record is from Ensembl. Lineage: Eukaryota; Metazoa; Chordata; Aves; Galliformes; Phasianidae.
GUCUGGUUUGGAGCAAAGAACUUAAACAGCAGUGUCCAUGUAGAGGAAAUGAGAAGAGCCAUGGCAUGCUGACUGCAAUAGCAUCUCUUCUUUCUGUGUCAGACAUAAAAGAUGAGUGGCACUCUGCAACUUAAUGUCCAGGAGGGAGUCACCAAAACAACAGCUCUUUGUAAGAUUUGUAUUUGUGCAUUCACUCAAGACCAUCUCAGCCUGUCUUGGGGGAUGUAGGUUGCCACUGUUCUUCUGAGCAUAUGACUAAAUACACAUCUGAAUUGUAUAUGUAAAAUCCUUUUAUUAUCUGGCCUGUAAAUUAAGCUUAGAAAGCCCAGGAAAUGGAAACCAGUGGAAAUAAAGCAUUCCUCUCUUACUGGCUGCAGCUAUGGAACAAGGAUUCUGAAGAGGUGAAAACAUAGAAUGUCAGGAUGUGCUGGGAGAUCCUGCUUUCUGUGGAAAAUCCGCGUGUCAAUACCUCUAAAUAUGUUAGCUCAUGUUCUCCAACAUAAUAGAUGUAAAAUGAUGAAAAAAUUCAAUAUCCAAAAUAACAACUAUGCAUUUAAACACCCUUGCUGCAGUUGAUGCAAUCUUAGACAGGUAAAGCUCCAUGCUCUUCUCCCUGACAAAGACAAUUUCCUCAAUUGUUACAGGUGUCUGUAUGUUAAGGUAUACAAGAUAAAUAAUCAUGUGGUUUACUUUGAGUCAAGAGUAAUGCACAGUGCAGAAGCAGCAUCAGCAGCAUCUUUAUAACCACUGAGCUAUUGAUGCACAAAUAAGCACUGCUUUUGCACAGCAUGCCCUGAAUCUAUUCUGGAUCCAGCAGCAAGGGUACUAUGGCUUACCAGAGAGUAUUUUCCCCAAGAGUGGGAUUUGCACAGAAGAGACACCAGUCUGGCUCUUACAAAGCCCUGUCUGUCUCUGUUUGUUUUCAGACCCAGAGUAUUAAUAAAAUUCAAAAGACAGACAUGAAUGUUUCUUUCAUCUUCCUACUUGAAACAGAAAGGUGCCAAACUUCCAGGGAAUUCAUUUUACCAUGUCUGGAUACAUAUACUGUGAAGGAAAAGCGUAGAACAGUGAAAACACCCCUAAUUCUUUCAUCUAAUGAAAAUCAAGCUUGCUGUUCUGAGGGAGGAACUCUCUUAAAUAAUGUUUCAAUAUAAGGGUGUUCCCCCCACAUCAAGGAGGAUUAAAAUGACUUUUUUUAUCAGCAGUAUCUUUAUUGUUAUCUGGAAAAUAAAGU